CGGGUCGUAAAACUCUGUCCUCAAGGAAGAUAAUGACGGUACUUGAGGAGGAAGCCCCGGCUAACUACGUGCCAGCAGCCGCGGUAAUACGUAGGGGGCUAGCGUUAUCCGGAUUUACUGGGCGUAAAGGGUGCGUAGGCGGUCUUUCAAGUCAGGAGUGAAAGGCUACGGCUCAACCGUAGUAAGCUCUUGAAACUGGGAGACUUGAGUGCAGGAGAGGAGAGUGGAAUUCCUAGUGUAGCGGUGAAAUGCGUAGAUAUUAGGAGGAACACCAGUUGCGAAGGCGGCUCUCUGGACUGUAACUGACGCUGAGGCACGAAAGCGUGGGGAGCAAACAGGAUUAGAUACCCUGGUAGUCCACGCUGUAAACGAUGAGUACUAGGUGUCGGGGGUUACCCCCUUCGGUGCCGCAGCUAACGCAUUAAGUAC
Molecule: ribosomal RNA, 429 nt
Filed under: Clostridioides difficile
Lineage: Bacteria; Bacillati; Bacillota; Clostridia; Peptostreptococcales; Peptostreptococcaceae
Description: bacterial SSU rRNA
Rfam family: Bacterial small subunit ribosomal RNA
Source: RNAcentral